Triticum dicoccoides is the source of this 397-nucleotide long non-coding RNA. RefSeq lists it as uncharacterized. The transcript has 4 exons. The record is from RefSeq and is a predicted model, not a curated record. Lineage: Eukaryota; Viridiplantae; Streptophyta; Magnoliopsida; Poales; Poaceae.
GAUGUGCAAAGACCAUCGCCCGUCCCUACCUUACCUACAGACUAAUCAACCUGUCAGGUUGGUGCUGAUUUGGGACUAUGAUUAAAACUAGAGGCUGAUGUUGUUCAGGCUCAUGGAGCUCAUGGAGCUCGACCUCUCCUCCGUGGCCUCCGUCUGCAAGUUCGCCGAUGACUUUCUCAUGUAUGGUACUCACACGAGUUCAAGUAGUGAUGUUGCAACAAGUACAGCUCCUCCCCUGUCAAGCUUAGUGAGCCAAAAAAGAGCAUAUUGAUGGAUGAUUGCUAGCUCGCUUCAUCAUCGGCAGAUUUUCCCGUCUACUAACUUGUGGGUACUGCCGGAGAUAAGUAGUAGGCGGCAAAGUGUUUUGAAGUAGCACCAAGACGGGGCAUAAAGAUGG